RNAcentral lists this ribosomal RNA (471 nucleotides) under uncultured bacterium. RNAcentral describes it as "bacterial SSU rRNA". It matches the Rfam family "Bacterial small subunit ribosomal RNA", at positions 355 to 825 of the family's 1533-position model. The record is from RNAcentral.
UGGGGAAUUGUUCGCAAUGGGCGCAAGCCUGACGACGCAACGCCGCGUGGAGGAUGAAGGUCUUCGGAUUGUAAACUCCUGUUGCCCGGGACGAAAUGUUCAGACCUAAUACGUCUGAGUUUGACGGUACCGGGUGAGGAAGCCCCGGCUAACUCUGUGCCAGCAGCCGCGGUAAUACAGAGGGGGCAAGCGUUGUUCGGAAUUACUGGGCGUAAAGGGCGCGUAGGCGGCCCUCUAAGUCGAACGUGAAAUCCCUGGGCUCAACCCAGGAACUGCGUCCGAGACUGGGGGGCUAGAAUCCGGGAGAGGGAUGUGGAAUUCCAGGUGUAGCGGUGAAAUGCGUAGAUAUCUGGAGGAACAUCGGUGGCGAAGGCGGCAUCCUGGACCGGUAUUGACGCUGAGGCGCGAAAGCCAGGGGAGCAAACGGGAUUAGAUACCCACGUAGUCCCUGAGCGGGCUGGCAAGGCGCAU